UACGUAGGGGGCAAGCGUUGUCCGGAUUUAUUGGGCGUAAAGAGCGUGUAGGCGGUUUGGUAGGUCCGCUGUGAAAACUCGAGCUCAACCUCGAGACGCCGGUGGAAACCAUCAGACUAGAGUCCGGAAGAGGAGAGUGGAAUUCCUGGUGUAGCGGUGAAAUGCGCAGAUAUCAGGAAGAACACCCGUGGCUAAGGCGGCUCUCUAGUACGGUACUGGACGCUGAGACGCGAAA
RNAcentral lists this ribosomal RNA (235 nucleotides) under uncultured bacterium. RNAcentral describes it as "partial 16S ribosomal RNA". It matches the Rfam family "Bacterial small subunit ribosomal RNA", at positions 524 to 758 of the family's 1533-position model. The record is from RNAcentral.